AUGGUGAAAAGUAUCUUAGCGAUGUUCUUUUGCAUUAUUAUUUCUGACUUCAGCAUAUUGCACAAAAAGUCACGGAUCCCAGCUCACAUUCCUUUAUUGUUAGAGAAGUUUGCAUGGAACUCUGCGUUUCCCCUUUCAGCUGGUCAUAAUAAUCUGUUUUUUUUCCUGUUCAGCACUAAGCACAGCAACGAAUCAGAGCAGAUGUGGCUCGAUGAAACCAUCAUGCAACUCAGGAUGAGAGAGGUGGUUACAAACAGCUUUGAAUAUGUGUGUACUUGUGUGUCUGUGUACAAUAUAGCUGAACAAACCUCCGCUGCUGUUGGCGCAGCAGAACAGAUGACUUGGAAAAGGCUCUUGAGUUCUUCACCUCAUAUAACACCUUUUUUAUGCUUAUUACUGUUGAUGCGAUUGAACCUCUGCCACAGUCUGAUUUUGGAUGCCUGUGCCCAUGGAGACUGGAGAACAUCAGCUAUUCAUAGGGGGAGCAGAACCAGAAUUACCUAUGGCUGCAGAGGGGAUCUGGGACGUGGUGGCUGAGGAGAGCACAGUGUGCUUGUACGCAGGACAGCUUUAUAGUAUUUUUUUUCUAAGUAGUUUCCAGGCUCUAACAGCCCCACCGGACCAGUUUCUACUCCCGUUCCUUAUGCAAUCCUUCACUUUGGUUCCACGUCCACUUUUUAUUCUGCAAUAUCUGAACACCCCCUGGUGUAUGUUCAGUAGCACCACUGCCACGCUGCUCAGUGCCUGGGGACAACACGGGGGCUGCCCACCGGGGCCGGAGCUGCUGGAGGAUCCCACAGCAGCCUCCCGUCCUCGGCUGCUCAUCAAACUGUCCCUUGGAUGGAGCACAAGGAAGAACGCAGGCUUGGAGCCCCCACGUAGAUGGGAAAACACUGAAAAUAAUUUCUGUUUCAAUGGAGGCAUAGGGGUGCGUGUAACAAGGUAGACUGGGCAAUGCACACAUAAUGUGGAGCCAGAAUCUAAAGACCAGGAGGAAAGGAAGUUUCUUUCUUGUAUUCUUCAUUGUGUUCCUGGAGGCAGGACUCUGAUGGAAGUUGUCACGCUGCAAGUUUCUGCUCAGCGAAUGGCGGACUGUUGUUUACUUUUAAGCGAAGCAAAUCAGGAAAGGAGGGAAAAGACAAUAAUAUGAAUUGACUUUUAUUACUUCUUGUAUAUAGAAAUUAAAGGCAAGGUUAAGAAAGCCUGAAUCCCUCAUUGGGUCCUUCUAGCAUCAGGUUUACCCCUGAAAGGAAAGAAAUCUCAGGUUAUGAUCCACACUGAGGCACGGGCAUGGAGAAGUCCCAGGGAGAUUAAUGCUGUGAUAUUGCAGCAGGAGAGGUUGCUGGAUCCGUGGUGAAGUUGUUGGGUCUGGAGUGCUUUAAGGGAGGCUGUUGCAUUCUGAUGGGGGACAGUCUGUGUCAAAAGAGAGUGGUGAAAAAUCUGAGAGACAGUAGCAGUUGCAGAUGUAGGGAAAGAUUUUGAGGAGUGGGUUGUUGCUGAACUGAAGAGGAAUAAAAGCAGGAGAAUGACAUUAGCA
RNAcentral lists this long non-coding RNA (1537 nucleotides) under Anser brachyrhynchus (Pink-footed goose). RNAcentral describes it as "lncRNA (ENSABRG00000012308.1)". The record is from RNAcentral. Lineage: Eukaryota; Metazoa; Chordata; Aves; Anseriformes; Anatidae.